GCAGGUAGACCAGCAUAUAUCAUUAUAAUACAGUGCAGGUAGACCAGCAUAUAUCAUUAUAAUACAGUGCAGGUAGACUAGCAUAUAUCAUUAUAAUACAGUGCAGGUAGACUAGCAUAUAUCAUUAUAAUACAGGUAGACCAGCAUAUAUCAUUAUAAUACAGUGCAGGUAGACCAGCAUAUAUCAUUAUAAUACAGUGCAGGUAGACCAGCAUAUAUCAUUAUAAUACAGUGCAGGUAGACUAGCAUAUAUCAUUAUAA
Long non-coding RNA from Oncorhynchus keta (chum salmon), 261 nucleotides. RefSeq lists it as uncharacterized. NCBI's taxonomy places the organism in Eukaryota, Metazoa, Chordata, Actinopteri, Salmoniformes, Salmonidae. The transcript is spliced from 3 exons. The record is from RefSeq and is a predicted model, not a curated record.